Molecule: unclassified non-coding RNA, 206 nt
Filed under: Hevea brasiliensis (rubber tree)
Lineage: Eukaryota; Viridiplantae; Streptophyta; Magnoliopsida; Malpighiales; Euphorbiaceae
Source: RNAcentral
GAAGGAGAGAACAUUGCCAAAAGCGUAUCGCAAGGUCGUUGCCUCUUUGGCGUUCUCAGGGUCCGCCAUUGAGAGACAGGGAGGGAGUAGAGUUGUGCUCAGUGGAAGGCUUUUCUAGGUCGUCGACAGGAAGAGAAGACUUUGGUGGAGCAAGAGGAGGAAGUGCGCGAGUCAGGAGUGAGGGUUUUAGAAUAGUUGAUUUGCGG